CAUUGUCUUCUUUGUGUCAGGACCAUUAAUUUAUCCAUCAUGAGAGGACACGAUGCUGGUAAUGAGCAGCCGUUCCCCGGGAUUAUCAAAUACUUCAGUUUAUACACAGAAGCUGGAAGGAAACGUUGUCUCGCGGUUACAUUUGCCAGCAUUGCAGGCAUCUUUCUUUUCUUUGCAAACAAGCCCAAGAAACAACCUGCUGUCACAGAACAGUAGCUACAAAGCAAGUUUCUGUUCGAGCGAUGUUUCCAUCAGUUAGGAGUGGAGAGAGCAGCUGGACAUGCUUGUGUUAUAAAUUU
Long non-coding RNA from Austrofundulus limnaeus, 299 nucleotides. RefSeq lists it as uncharacterized. The record is from RefSeq and is a predicted model, not a curated record. The transcript is spliced from 3 exons. NCBI's taxonomy places the organism in Eukaryota, Metazoa, Chordata, Actinopteri, Cyprinodontiformes, Rivulidae.